Molecule: microRNA precursor, 68 nt
Organism: Aotus nancymaae (Ma's night monkey)
Lineage: Eukaryota; Metazoa; Chordata; Mammalia; Primates; Aotidae
Source: Ensembl
GACACUUGGGAGGGAAGGCACCUGGAGGGUAUGGUCACAGCAGCAUCCUCCUCUGUUCUCUCUCCUAG